RNAcentral lists this ribosomal RNA (1387 nucleotides) under uncultured bacterium. RNAcentral describes it as "bacterial SSU rRNA". It matches the Rfam family "Bacterial small subunit ribosomal RNA". The record is from RNAcentral.
GAGUUUGAUCCUGGCUCAGAAUCAACGCUGGCGGCGUGCCUCAGACAUGCAAGUCGAACGCGAAAGGCCCUUUCGGGGGCCGAGUAGAGUGGCGCACGGGUGAGUAACACGUGGGUAAUUUGCCUUCGGGUGGGGAAUAGCGGCUGGAAACGGCCAUUAAUACCGCAUAAUGCAGCGGCUCGACAUCGAGACAGUUGUUAAAGCGGGGGAUCGUAAGACCUCGCGCCUGAAGAGAAGCCCGCGGCGGAUUAGCUAGUUGGUAAGGUAAUGGCUUACCAAGGCAAAGAUGCCUAGCGGGUGUGAGAGCACGACCCGCGCCACUGGCACUGAGACACUGGCCAGACUCCUACGGGAGGCUGCAGUCGAGGAUCUUCGGCAAUGGGCGCAAGCCUGACCGAGCGACGCCGCGUGUGCGAUGAAGGCCUUCGGGUUGUAAAGCACUGUCGAGGGGGAGGAAAGCCGCAAGGUCUGACCUAUCCCUGGAGGAAGCACGGGCUAAGUUCGUGCCAGCAGCCGCGGUAAGACGAACCGUGCAAACGUUGUUCGGAAUCACUGGGCUUAAAGGGCGCGUAGGCGGGCCAUCAAGUCCGGGGUGAAAUCUUUCGGCUCAACCGGAAAAGUGCCUUGGAUACUGGUGGUCUUGAGGGAGGUAGGGGCAUGUGGAACUUCCGGUGGAGCGGUGAAAUGCGUUGAUAUCGGAAGGAACUCCGGUGGCGAAAGCGACGUGCUGGACCUCUUCUGACGCUGAGGCGCGAAAGCUAGGGGAGCGAACGGGAUUAGAUACCCCGGUAGUCCUAGCCCUAAACGAUGGGUACUAGGUAGUAGACUUAACAUGGGUUUACUGCCGAAGCAAAAGUGGUAAGUACCCCGCCUGGGGAGUAUGGUCGCAAGGCUGAAACUCAAAGGAAUUGACGGGGGCUCACACAAGCGGUGGAGCAUGUGGCUUAAUUCGAUGCAACGCGAAGAACCUUACCUGGCCUUGACAUCUGUCGAAUCCUUCAGAGAUGAGGGAGUGCCUUCGGGAACGACAAGACAGGUGCUGCAUGGCUGUCGUCAGCUCGUGUCGUGAGGUGUUGGGUUAAGUCCCGCAACGAGCGCAACCCUUGCCCUUAGUUGCCAGCAUUUAGUUGGGAACUCUAAGGGGACCGCCGGUGACAAACCGGAGGAAGGUGGGGAUGACGUCAAGUCAUCAUGGCCCUUAUGGCCAGGGCUACACACGUGCUACAAUGGUCGGUACAGAGGGUUGCCAAGUCGCGAGACGGAGCUAAUCCCAGAAAGCCGAUCGUAGUCCGGAUUGCAGUCUGCAACUCGACUGCAUGAAGUCGGAAUCGCUAGUAAUCGCGGAUCAGCAUGUCGCGGUGAAUACGUUCCCGGGUCUUGCACACAC